UAAGGUGUAAAUCACUAUUGCUCUCUGGUGGUAUGAUUCGGAACUGGUAAUUAACCCACAUUACCUUCCCGGACGUUAGGUGGCAGUAAACACUUGCUGUUGGUCACCAAACGUUACUAAUGAAGACAGAAGAAGACAUAUGAGGAAGUUUUGCCGCGUUUCUUUGUUUUGGAUCUUCAUGCUCAGUUUUUUUUUGACGUUUCGAUACUUCAGAAACGUUUUAUUUCGCUUACGAAUAACGAGCUAAAUGCAAUUUUAUGAUUCUGUUUUGAUUGAACGCAUAUGAGCUAAUUUAGUAUACAGCUUCUCUGUCGACUAGCUACUGUAGCUAGUUAACGUUAGUUAGCAACACAGGAGCCUUGACGUCAGUCGCUAAGGCUUGCUCAUAUCAUGGAUGGUGAAAACAAACCCUGCCUGCUGCUCUCCUUUACCGCACCUAAAUCUGAGGGUCCUGAUUGUAACAGAGUGAACAGCAGACUCCAGAGAUGGCAUCAGUGAAGCAGGAAGACUGCAGUCAAACACUGGGGCUGAAUGUCAACAUUAAAGAUGAAGUAAAGGAGGAAGAGAUUGAAACAUUUGUGUAUCAUGGGCCGGCUGGAGAGUUCAAAGAAAACACGGAAGAACACCAAGUCUUACUACUCAAAGAUAAAGGAAGAAGAAAACCAAAAGGAAUGGAGAAAGAAACUGAAAAAAAGAGGCACCGAUUCACCCCUGGAGAUGAGGAUCUUAUUAUUUCAGGGGUACUUGUGCACUGGGAGGACCUCUUCGGCGCCCAGGCCCACAUUCGCCCCCGGGGGUCAAAGACGGCAACCUGGAACACCAUCGCUGGGACCUUGACCUCGGCUGUGGCGAGAUGUGGUGACGAUGUCCGGAAGAAGUACAAUCUCAUACGGAGCCAAAUCAAGCAAAAGGUUUCUUCUAUCCGGACAUUGUCUGGUGGGGGGCCCAACACCGUGCCGGCGCUGACCGACCUGGAGCAGCAACUUUUCUCCCGAAUGGCAGAGACCGAAGCUGGUGUAGUGCCUGUUGAUUUGGGAUUUGGUCUCUCUCAGGGAGAAAUCUCCAGCUCUGGUCCCCCACCAACACCAGAGGGAACUGUGGAGUCAGCUUUACCCUCUGUCACCAUGGAGGAGCUACCCUCCACCUCACCAUCAACACCUUGGCCAGCACCAACAGUGCCACCCCAACCCAUCACCUCCCGUCCUGCACCAGCUCACUCUGGCUCUGCUCCCCAACCCAUCACCUCCCGUCCUGCACCAGCUCACUCAAUCCACUCUCAAUCAAUGAAUCAAAUUUAUUUUAUAAAGCCCUUUUUACAUCAGCAGUUGUCACAAAGUGCUUUACAGAUACCCAGCCUAAAAUCCCAAAUAGCAAGCAAUGCAGAUGCACUCUCUGGCACCGCACCCCAACCCAUCACCUCCUGUCCUGCACCAGCUCAUUCCAUCCACUCUGGCUUUGCUCCCCAACCCAUCACCUCCUGUCCUGCACCAGCUCAUUCCAUCCACUCUGGCUUUGCUCCCCAACCCAUUACCUCCUGUCCUGCACCAGCUCAUUCCAUCCACUCUGGCUUUGCUCCCCAACCCAUCACCUCCUGUCCUGCACCAGCUCAUUCCAUCCACUCUGGCUUUGCUCCCCAACCCAUCACCUCCUGUCCUGCACCAGCUCAUUCCAUCCACUCUGGCUUUGCUCCCCAACCCAUUACCUCCUGUCCUGCACCAGCUCAUUCCAUCCACUCUGGCUUUGCUCCCCAACCCAUUACCUCCUGUCCUGCACCAGCUCAUUCCAUCCACUCUGACUCUACACCCCAACCCAUCACGUCUGGCUGGACACCACAAGGCCCCCAAGCCAUUCUGCUCCAACAAAUCCUGGACACACAAACGCAACAAAUCCAUGCUACACAGACCGCCCAACACAUCCACCAAGCUCUUUAUGAUUUAUUAGAAAAAGCACAUGAAACACAGAAGGCACACCUGGAUGUGGAGAAGAACCGGCUCCAGCUGGAUAGAGAGCGCUUGAGGGUGGAGACAGAGCGCCUGCAGGUGGAGAGGGAGCGCCUCAAGAUGGAGAAGGAUCGCCUGGGGGAAGGGGAGGCGCUUCGGCAGCUCUCUGUCUCUGGGUCAGUCGCCCUAGAACACCAGACGCCUGUGAGUUCAAGAACUGCCAGUGCCUCAGCCACCUUUCCUCUGGGAACACCAUCAGCCUCCAUGUCCAGUCCCCUCACAUUAAUAUCACCUACUGCACCACACUUUGAUUCCCCAUUCCCAUUACCGGUAAUCACAACCCAUUCCACCCAGCCAUCACAAACCAGCCCUGCCCCAACCUCUCCUACCUUAACCAGCCCUGCCCCAACCUCUGCUACCUUAACCAGCCCUGCCCCAACCUCUGCUACCUUAACCAGCCCUGCCCCAACCUCCCCUGCCUUAACCGUUCCUGCCCCAACCUCCCCUACCUUAACCGUUCCUGCCCACUCUCUCAUCCCUCCAAUCUCCAGAUCUGUUAAACGGCGAGUUCAGGAGACAGUCCGGCCUUGGUCUGCACCCACUGCUAAGAAUCAAAAACAUCAAUAA
Oncorhynchus mykiss (rainbow trout) is the source of this 2567-nucleotide long non-coding RNA. The record is from Ensembl. NCBI's taxonomy places the organism in Eukaryota, Metazoa, Chordata, Actinopteri, Salmoniformes, Salmonidae.